RNAcentral lists this long non-coding RNA (229 nucleotides) under Mytilus galloprovincialis (Mediterranean mussel). The record is from RNAcentral. Lineage: Eukaryota; Metazoa; Mollusca; Bivalvia; Mytilida; Mytilidae.
CUCAUCAGUUUUUAUCAAGCGUCGUAACACAGUACGUGAUAUAUGAGGCAUGCAGAUGGAAUGUUUUGAUCAGCUGAAGUAUCCAUUGAAGAGGAUCUUAGAAAAUAAUGUAUGAUGCAGUCACAGAAAUGUAUAUAAUAUUAGUAUGUCUGACCCAGUGACAACUCUACUACUCUGCCACAGAUUUUAUCUAUCGGAUCACCAGUGAUGGUGAUACAAGGCUGAAAAC